This 497-nucleotide ribosomal RNA is filed under the name uncultured bacterium. RNAcentral describes it as "partial 16S ribosomal RNA". It matches the Rfam family "Bacterial small subunit ribosomal RNA", at positions 28 to 507 of the family's 1533-position model. The record is from RNAcentral.
GACGAACGCUGGCGGCGUGCCUAAUACAUGCAAGUUGAGCGCUGAAGGUUGGUACUUGUACCAACUGGAUGAGCAGCAAACGGGUGAGUAACGCGUGGGGAAUCUGCCUUUGAGCGGGGGACAACAUUUGGAAGCGAAUGCUAAUACCGCAUAAAAACUUUAAACACAAGUUUUAAGUUUGAAAGAUGCAAUUGCAUCACUCAAAGAUGAUCCCGCGUUGUAUUAGCUAGUUGGUGAGGUAAAGGCUCACCAAGGCGAUGAUACAUAGCCGACCUGAGAGGGUGAUCGGCCACAUUGGGACGGAGACACGGCCCAAACGCCUACGGGAGGCAGCAGUAGGGAAUCGUCGGCAAUGGACGAAAGUCUGACCGAGCAACGCCGCGUGAGUGAAGAAGGUUGUCGGAUCGUAAAACUCUGUUGGUAGAGAAGAACGUUGGUGAGAGUGGAAAGCUCAUCAAGUGACGGUAACUACCCAGAAAGGGACGGCUAACUACGUG